This 85-nucleotide transfer RNA is filed under the name Vibrio cholerae O395. Its description in RNAcentral is "tRNA-Leu". It matches the Rfam family "tRNA". From Rfam's summary of the family: Transfer RNA (tRNA) molecules are approximately 80 nucleotides in length. Their secondary structure includes four short double-helical elements and three loops (D, anti-codon, and T loops). The record is from RNAcentral. Lineage: Bacteria; Pseudomonadati; Pseudomonadota; Gammaproteobacteria; Vibrionales; Vibrionaceae.
ACAAUUUGCGGAAGUGGCGAAAUUGGUAGACGCACCAGAUUUAGGUUCUGGCGCCGCGAGGCGUAAGAGUUCAAGUCUCUUCUUC